RNA transcript from Fragaria vesca subsp. vesca, 2323 nucleotides. It is a transcript of the gene named probable LRR receptor-like serine/threonine-protein kinase At2g23950-like, with no coding region annotated. The record is from RefSeq and is a predicted model, not a curated record. Lineage: Eukaryota; Viridiplantae; Streptophyta; Magnoliopsida; Rosales; Rosaceae. The transcript is spliced from 11 exons.
AGAGAGGGAGAGAGAGAUUGAACAACACUUGCUUUUAGUUGUUCUUAGCUUUUACAUAUUCUUCUGUGAUGGGUUUUAUCUGAAUUCUCUCUUCCUUCAUCCCAAACCAUUAUUCCAUAACAUGAUGAUGAUCAAACACUUAGCUUUUUUCUUCUUCUUCUUUCUCUCCACUGCUUCACUCUGUCUCUCCUACGAACCUCGCAACCAUGAAGUGGUGGCUUUGAUAAGCUUAAAGGGCAGUUUGAAUGAUCCUCAUGGCGUUUUAAACAAUUGGGAUGGAGACUCUGUAGACCCAUGUAGCUGGGCUAUGAUCACUUGCUCAUCUGAGAAUGUUGUUGUAGGCCUAGGAGCUCCAAGCCAGUCACUGUCUGGAACUUUAACUGCAGCUAUAGGAAAUCUCACAAAUCUUCGCCAAGUGUUGCUGCAGAACAACAAUAUAUCUGGUAAACUCCCAGCGGAGCUGGGUACUCUUCCCAAGCUUCAAACUCUUGAUCUCUCCAAUAAUCGAUUCUUGGGUGUUGUCCCAGAGUCUCUGGGUCAGUUGAAUAGUCUGCAGUAUCUGAGGCUGAACAACAAUAGCUUGUCUGGAGCUUUCCCUGUGUCUUUAGCCAAAAUUCCUGCUCUUGCUUUCUUGGACUUGUCUUACAACAAUCUUAGUGGACCAAUACCCAAAUUCCCAGCCAGAACUUUCAAUGUUGUCGGGAACCCACUGAUUUGUGGAAGCAGCUCCACAGAAGGAUGCUCUGGAUCAGCCCCUGUUCCUCUUUCAUUAUCACUAAACCCAUCACCUGGAAAACACAAGUCCAAAACAGUAGCAAUUGCACUUGGGGUGAGCUUCAGCUGUGCCUUUCUCAUGCUCCUAUCACUUGGAAUCAUCUGGUACAGAGAGAAGCAAAAGAGCCAAACCAUUUUGAACAUCAGUGACAUUCAAGAAGAGGGACUUGUGAGCUUAGGCAACCUCAGAAACUUCACUUUCAAAGAGCUUCAAGUCGCCACAGACCAUUUUAGCUCCAAGAACAUACUAGGUGCUGGAGGUUUUGGGAAUGUGUACAAGGGAAAGCUGGGAGAUGGGACUAUGGUGGCAGUAAAACGACUCAAGGAUGUUACAGGAACAGCUGGAGAGUCGCAAUUCAGGACAGAAUUGGAAAUGAUAAGCCUAGCAGUACACAGGAAUUUGCUUCGCUUAAUCGGAUAUUGUGCUACUUCUAAUGAGAGGCUUCUGGUGUACCCUUACAUGUCCAAUGGCAGUGUUGCCUUCAGGCUUAGAGGAAAGCCAGCUCUAGAUUGGAACACAAGGAAGAGAAUAGCAAUUGGAGCUGCAAGAGGUCUUUUGUAUCUACAUGAGCAAUGCGAUCCAAAGAUCAUACACAGGGACGUGAAGGCUGCAAAUGUGCUCCUGGAUGACUACUGUGAGGCAAUUGUUGGUGAUUUUGGCCUUGCAAAGCUCCUCGACCAUGCUGACUCUCAUGUGACCACUGCUGUACGUGGGACUGUUGGGCACAUUGCACCAGAGUACCUUUCUACUGGUCAAUCAUCUAGAAAAAACUGAUGUUUUUGGAUUUGGCAUUCUCUUGAUUGAGCUCAUAACUGGGAUGAGAGCUCUGGAGUUUGGCAAAACAGUUAAUCAGAAAGGAGCCAUGCUUGAGUGGGUGAAGAAAGUACAACAAGAAAAGAAAGUAGAACUCUUGGUGGAUAGAGAACUGGGGAACAAUUACGAUCGGAUAGAGGUUGGUGAAAUGCUACAAGUGGCUCUGCUAUGCACUCAAUACCUACCAGCUCACCGCCCCAAGAUGUCGGAAGUGGUCCGGAUGCUGGAAGGUGAUGGACUAGCGGAGAAGUGGGCAUCGUCACAUAAUCAUAGUAAAUCCAGGAUGGACCUCUUCCAGACUCACAACAGUAACAAAAGCACUCCCCACAGUACUUGGAAUGCAUCAAAACAUGAUGGGAGUGAACGCAUGUUUGGCACAUCUAUGGAUGAGGAUGAUGAUGAGCAUUCUUUGGAUUCCUAUGCCAUGGAACUCUCUGGUCCAAGAUAGAGAUAGAAAACUAAGAUGAUGAAACAUAGACAAACAAAAGGUGGAGAAUUUCUUCAUGAAUUCUUUAAAAGAGAAACAUACCCGGUUGUGCUUGGGAAACCAAACUUCUGUAAUUCCAGCUUUGUGGGUUAUUGUAAAUAUGACUUUAUAUAGUCUUAUUAUUAUUAUGGUUAGGGUAUUAAAUUUGUCUGGUUGCGUUAUGGUAAAAAAUGUCAUUGGAGUAAUGGAUGGGUUUUGCAUUUGUUGUUGUACAUAACUACAUAUGAUGAUUAGUCAAUGAGAUGCCC